RNAcentral lists this ribosomal RNA (1128 nucleotides) under uncultured organism. RNAcentral describes it as "bacterial SSU rRNA". It matches the Rfam family "Bacterial small subunit ribosomal RNA", at positions 61 to 1187 of the family's 1533-position model. The record is from RNAcentral.
GUUGAACGGUACCAGGCCCUUUUGGGUGCUGACGAGUGACGCACGGGUGAGUAACGCGUAGGUAAUCUACCUAUUGGACUGGGAUAGCUCUACGAAAGUAGGAUUAAAACCAGAUACAUUUACCUAAUCUUAAGAUUAAAUAAAGAAAUGUCUAAGCCGAUAGAUGAGCCUGCGUUAGAUUAGUUAGUAGGUGUGGUAAUGGCGCACCUAGGCAUCGAUCUAUAGCCGAGUUGAGAGGCUAAUCGGCCACAUUGGAACUGAGACACGGUCCAGACUCCUACGGGAGGCAGCAGCUAAGAAUCUUCCGCAAUGGUUGAGAGACUGACGGAGCGACGCCGCAUGAAUGAUGAAGGCCUUUUAGGUUGUAAAAUUCUUUUAUAAUAGAUGAAAGUAUAGAUAUAGUUUAUGCUGACCGUAUAUUAUGAAUAAGGUCCGGCUAACUACGUGCCAGCAGCCGCGGUAAAACGUAGGGACCUAGCGUUGUUCGGAAUUACUGGGCGUAAAGGGUAUGCAGGCUGUUAUAUAAGUCAGAUGUGAAAGACCCGGGCUCAACCUUGGAAUUGCGUCUGAUACUGUAUAACUUGGGUAGCUGAGAGGAAGUCGGAAUUCCUGGUGUAGGGGGUGAAAUCUAUAGAUAUCAGGAAGAACACCAGUAGCGUAGGCGGACUUCUGGCAGCUUACCGACGCUGAGGUACGAAAGGUAGGGUAGCAAACAGGAUUAGAGACCCUGGUAGUCCUACCUGUAAACGUUGUAUACUAGGUGGUGGAAGUUUAAUAUCUUUCUCUGCCGGAGUCAACGCAUUAAGUAUACCGCCUGGGGAGUAUGCCGGCAACGGUGAAACUCAAAGGAAUUGACGGGGCCCCGCACAAGCAGUGGAGCAUGUUGAUUAAUUCGAUGAUACGCGAGGAACCUUACCAGGUCUUGACAUAUAUCUGACGCACAUAGAGAUAUGUGCUCUCUUCGGAGCAGAUAUACAGGUGCUGCAUGGUUGUCGUCAGCUCGUGCCGUGAGGUGUUGGGUUAAGUCCCGCAACGAGCGCAACCCCUAUUCUUUGUUGCUAACGGGUAAUGCUGAGCACUCGAAGGAAACUGCCGGUGACAAACCGGAGGAAGGUGGGGAUGAGGUCA